This 72-nucleotide transfer RNA is filed under the name Methanomicrobia archaeon. It matches the Rfam family "tRNA". Rfam says of the family: Transfer RNA (tRNA) molecules are approximately 80 nucleotides in length. Lineage: Archaea; Methanobacteriati; Methanobacteriota; Methanomicrobia. The record is from Rfam by way of RNAcentral.
GCCGCUGUGGCUUAGAGGCAGAGCAGCUGAUUCGUAAUCAGCGGGUCGGGGGUUCAAAUCCCUCCAGCGGCU